Molecule: long non-coding RNA, 421 nt
Organism: Telopea speciosissima
Lineage: Eukaryota; Viridiplantae; Streptophyta; Magnoliopsida; Proteales; Proteaceae
Exons: 2
Source: RefSeq, a predicted model, not a curated record
GUAAAAUUUGUUUUAGCAUAUUCAAUUUUGUCUUGUGUUGCUUAACCCGUUGUGCUUGAUUUGUAUCUUCUCUAGAUCAUGGCAGCUAUUGGGACUUCCAAUUUUCUUCAUAUGCAUUACAUCAUGGCCUGUAUUGUUCUUCCAGUUCUGGAAGCGUAAGAACUCUGCUCUUUUAGCCAAAUGGCUGAAAAGUUAUUUAGCGGAAGUGGAAAGGAACUCCGUCCAGUCCUCUGUGGAGCUCAUGAAGAAAUCAGGGACCAAUAACCAAAAAGAAGCUUUUCGAAGAGACAAGUGGUUUGGUCAUCUUCUACGAUUCAGAAAUGAUGCAAUUGUUAUCUCAAGUAUAAUUUGUCUUCAAUUGCCAUUUGAGCUGGCUUAUGCUCAUCUAUAUGAAGUUCUUGGGUCCGAUGUGAUGAAGUAA